Molecule: ribosomal RNA, 850 nt
Filed under: uncultured bacterium
Lineage: Bacteria
Description: bacterial SSU rRNA
Rfam family: Bacterial small subunit ribosomal RNA
Source: RNAcentral
AGUCGAGGGGCAGCAUAAGAUCAGCUUGCUGAUUUGGUGGCGACCGGCGCACGGGUGCGUAACGCGUAUGCAAUCUACCUUGUACAGAGAGAUAGCCCAGAGAAAUUUGGAUUAAUACCUCAUAGUAUCAUUGAAUGGCAUCAUUUAAUGAUUAAAGUUUCGGCGGUACAAGAUGAGCAUGCGUCCUAUUAGUUAGAUGGUAAGGUAACGGCUUACCAUGGCUACGAUAGGUAGGGGUUCUGAGAGGAUGAUCCCCCACACUGGUACUGAGACACGGACCAGACUCCUACGGGAGGCAGCAGUGAGGAAUAUUGGUCAAUGGACGCAAGUCUGAACCAGCCAUGCCGCGUGCAGGAAGACGGUCCUCUGGAUUGUAAACUGCUUUUAUUUGGGAAGAAACCCCCGGUCGUGCAUCGGGGCUGACAGUACCAAAGGAAUAAGCACCGGCUAACUCCGUGCCAGCAGCCGCGGUAAUACGGAGGGUGCAAGCGUUAUCCGGAAUCAUUGGGUUUAAAGGGUCCGCAGGCGGGCUAAUAAGUCAGUGGUGAAAUCCCUCAGCUUAACUGAGGAACUGCCAUUGAUACUGCUAGUCUUGAAUUCGGUCGAAGUGGGCGGAAUGUGUCAUGUAGCGGUGAAAUGCAUAGAUAUGACACAGAACACCGAUAGCGAAGGCAGCUCACUGGGCCUGAAUUGACGCUCAGGGACGAAAGCGUGGGGAGCAAACAGGANUAGAUACCCUGNUAGUCCACGCCGUAAACGAUGAUUACUCGAUAUUGGCGAUAUACGGUCAGUGUCUAAGCGAAAGUGAUAAGUAAUCCACCUGGGGAGUACGAUCGCAAGGUUGAAACUC